CGGCAUGACCAUUUUGGGGCAUUGUCCUGCCAGAGGCAUUGUCAACCCUGAUGAUUUGAAAGCCCCCGCGGCGAUGUGACAUCCUCACGGCAGCUCUGACAGCCUACAGUGAGUUGACAGUUCCUCACUUGUCCGCGCCAUUAAUGACGGCGCCAUACCUAGCUCCACUAUAUAUACCGGGGAAGGCAACAGUGCAAGGGGUCGAUCCGUCCGUCUCUCCCACAUACGCAGGCUCGCUCCUCUCUCUUCCUCUCCCUCUCUCCUUCUCAGAGCUCUCUGUCUGCAUUUCACUGUUGCCCAGUCACCUCUCUGACUUGACCGUCGGAGGGUCCCCGCCGGAGCCGCCUCCGGUCAGUGCGGACUUCCUUUUGCAGGUGCACGCUUCCCGGCGAUCGGGCGACGAGGCGAUUGGCCGCAACAGAGGUAAAUCUUUGAAGCUCAUUUCUUUGCUCAUCUCGGUGCCUGAUGCUCGGCCAAAAUACCUUAUAUUGAAUGAU
RNAcentral lists this long non-coding RNA (497 nucleotides) under Elaeis guineensis (African oil palm). RNAcentral describes it as "long non-coding RNA (EGUI_LNC025433)". The record is from RNAcentral. Lineage: Eukaryota; Viridiplantae; Streptophyta; Magnoliopsida; Arecales; Arecaceae.